CCCACCCCUUGUGCCGAGUGCCUGCCAGGGCUGGUGGCACUGCGGGGUGGGGGCAAAGCCCCUGGGCCACACCGAAAUGUGCUGGAACUUGUAAUUCCUUACAAAUGGCUCUUCCUUCCAGAACAAUCUGCCUCAUUCUAAAUUAAUUACCGGCACCUUUGUGAUUUAAUACCCUGUGUGAGGAGGAAGGAAGGUUUCCUUUCAGCAGCCUUCACUCCUCCACGCGGAAUCGCUCCGCAUCCCUGCAAUCCCAGAAUGUUUUACAAGCGGCCCUGCUCUGGCACAGACCUCCCCAUCUGUUUGCUUGAAUAAUAAUCAGCAUUUCCAUUCCGCCAGUGCCCUUUGUCCUGCCUGCUCUCUGCUCAGAACCAUCUGCUCGCGAUUGCCGGAAUUCCAGGCUUGGAGCUGUGCCUUUGGCCUGCCUGGGGAGCCAGGGAGGUUUUUCCAGCUGUUGCCCAAAUUCCUGGUUUGUUUUGCCAAGCAGGAGCUGGGUGUGAGCUCCCCUGGCCCACGUGUGGGUCUGGCUGAACGUCAGGGAGGGAAAUCCCUGGAUUUCAGGGCUCUGGGCUCUUCCUGCUGCUUUUGGCUCUUCUCCAGAGGGGGAAAAGCUCCACGUGAGCAAAGGGAAGAUCUCAGUGCCCGGGGCAGUCCUUGCCAGGAGCUGGCGCCAGCCAGCCUUCCCUCAGUGUCUGGAGGUGUCUUUGCAGUGGCAGCAGGAAGGGUCACUGUGGAGCUCUCCUGUCCUGGAUCCUGCUCUCCCGUUCCUCCUGAGCCUUCCCUGCAGAGGGAAAUUGGGAAUUGUCGCUGUUCCUGCCGUUCCUGCAGCUCUCUGAGGAUCCAUCCUCGGCUUCCAGCUCCAAACCAAUUUCUGUUUGUGCCUGGCGGUCACACCCUGAGCUCAGCGCCCUGCUCACCUUCUCCUCCUGCUCCCAGCAGGGUUGGAAAUCCAUCUGGGGAUGUCCAGAGGUUCCUCCCCAAGGAAUCCUUGGAUGAAUCCCUGAUUCUGCUCCUUCCCAAAGCUGUGGAGGCCCCUGGGCUCUGCAGCUGGGAGCGGUGGAAACCAUUCAUGUUGAGCGGGCUGCAGCCAUGCUUUAAAUGGAGAACAAAUUCUCCUAAUUGGUUUUUUUGGCAGAUUUUCCGUGAUAAAUUAUUCUCUAACUUUACAGCUCCUUAAAUUGGGGUUUGUGGUGCUGUUUACAAACCCGCAGAAAGCGAUGCCUGAGCAAAUAGACAAUGAAAGGGAUCUUGUAAACCACAGUUGUGUGUAAUUGCUGCCUGGGAAGUGUUCAUGGGGGAGAGAAAAGCCUUCCUCCUCUUCCAGCUUUGACAUUCACACUGUAAAUGUUUGCAAAUCUGCCUCUCCCUGCCCUAAUUAUUUGUUGUUUGUGUGUUUGGGAAGGUUUGCAGGGCUGGUCCUGGUGUGACACCACUCAGAAAAUCUCUCCUGCCACAGCCCUGGGUCCUCCUGACUUGUGGGGGAAUUUGGGACGUUCCAGCCUGGGGGAAGUUGAUGUUUUUGUGUUUCCAGAGCUCUGUUUGUGCUUUUGCUGUGUUUUAUCCUCGGAACUCGCUGGCCAGAGCUGCCUCUGGCUCGGUCCUGCCCUGGGGACCCUGAGGUGAGGCUGGCUGUUCCUGCCCCAGCUUUGACAGGAAUUUGGAAUGAAAAAUGAGGAUUCCCUGCCUUUGGUGUUGGGGUUUUGGGGCAGAAAUGACCAAUAUCAGUGAAGCUCUCGGCCCUUCCCGCAGGACUCUGCUCCCUGUGGUCCCACAGGUGAGAGGGGACGGCUGGAGGUGAGUGCAGCCACCCGAGGCAGUCCUGGUGUCACAUCUGUGUCACAUCUGUGCCACAUCUGCAGCUGGAAAACCUUCCCUGCCCAGGCCAGGGCCAUGGCCACUUCCCAGUGGAGCAGAAAGCGCCGGGAAUGGGAAAUCCUGGGAAUGGGAAAUCCCGGGAAUGUCUGAGCCCCUCUGGGGCACUGUGGUGGGGCUGGGGCUGGGCUGUGCUCAGGACAGGGUGCAGGUGAAGGGACAGGAGCAGCAAAUUCUCCUCUCUGAUCCUCUCCAGGGCCUUUCCCCUUUGGUGUGAUCCCACAGCUCCCAGACCUCCUCUGGAAUGGGAUCUGCUCCCAGGUUUUUCCUGGGUUCUGCUGGGACACGAGGAGGGAGCCCCAGGC
Molecule: long non-coding RNA, 2174 nt
Filed under: Parus major (Great Tit)
Lineage: Eukaryota; Metazoa; Chordata; Aves; Passeriformes; Paridae
Description: lncRNA (ENSPMJG00000017813.1)
Source: RNAcentral